UACGUAGGUGGCAAGCGUUGUCCGGAUUUAUUGGGUUUAAAGGGUGCGUAGGCGGCCUUUUAAGUCAGUGGUGAAAGCCGAUCGCUUAACGAUCGAACUGCCAUUGAUACUGAAAGGCUUGAGUAUAGUUGAGGUAAGCGGAAUUGACAGUGUAGCGGUGAAGUGCAUAGAUAUUGUCAAGAACACCAAUUGCGUAGGCAGCUUACUAAAGUAUAACUGACGCUGAGGCACGAAAGUGCGGGGAUCAAACAGG
RNAcentral lists this ribosomal RNA (253 nucleotides) under uncultured bacterium. RNAcentral describes it as "partial 16S ribosomal RNA". It matches the Rfam family "Bacterial small subunit ribosomal RNA", at positions 524 to 776 of the family's 1533-position model. The record is from RNAcentral.